UACGUAGGGCGCAAGCGUUGUCCGGAUUUAUUGGGCGUAAAGAGCGUGUAGGCGGUUUGGUAGGUCCGUUGUGAAAACUCGAGGCUCAACCUCGAGACGCCGAUGGAAACCAUCAGACUAGAGUCCGGAAGAGGAGAGUGGAAUUCCUGGUGUAGCGGUGAAAUGCGCAGAUAUCAGGAAGAACACCCGUGGCUAAGGCGGCUCUCUAGUACGGUACUGACGCUGAGACGCGAAAGCGUGGGGAGCGAACAGG
RNAcentral lists this ribosomal RNA (253 nucleotides) under uncultured bacterium. RNAcentral describes it as "partial 16S ribosomal RNA". It matches the Rfam family "Bacterial small subunit ribosomal RNA", at positions 524 to 776 of the family's 1533-position model. The record is from RNAcentral.